CGCAUAAGUAUUGCCUCAGUACGGCGAGUGAAGCGGCAAAAGCUCAAAUUUUAAAGCUGGCACCUUCGGUGUCCGCGUUGUAAUUUUGUGAGGCAUCUCCGGGUAGGGCGCCGGCCUAAGUUCCUUGGAACAGGACGUCAUAGAGGGUGAGAAUCCCGUGCUUGGCUGGCUGUCCCCGUCCAUGUGAGGUGUCUUCGACGAGUCGAGUUGUUUGGGAAUGCAGCUCAAAAUGGGUGGUAAAUUUCAUCUAAAGCUAAAUAUUGGUGGGAGACCGAUAGCGCACAAGUAGAGUGAUCGAAAGAUGAAAAGCACUUUGAAAAUAGAGUUAAAAAGUACGUGAAAUUGUUGAAAGGGAAGCGCUUGAGACCAGACUUCGGUGGGGGGUGAUCAGCUGUCCUUCUGGGCGGUGCACUUGCUCCCCUCCGGGCCAGCAUCGGUUGGGGCGGCGGGAUAAAGAUCCCGGGAAUGUGGCUCCUUUCGGGGAGUGUUAUAGCCCGGGUGAAUGCCGCCAGUUCCGACCGAGGACCGCGCCUUCGGGCUAGGAUGCUUGGCAUAAUGGUCUUCAGCGACCCGUCUUGAACCCACGGACCA
Molecule: ribosomal RNA, 591 nt
Filed under: Morchella sp.
Lineage: Eukaryota; Fungi; Ascomycota; Pezizomycetes; Pezizales; Morchellaceae
Description: partial large subunit ribosomal RNA
Rfam family: Eukaryotic large subunit ribosomal RNA
Source: RNAcentral